RNAcentral lists this ribosomal RNA (264 nucleotides) under uncultured Desulfosporosinus sp. Its description in RNAcentral is "partial 16S ribosomal RNA". It matches the Rfam family "Bacterial small subunit ribosomal RNA", at positions 234 to 489 of the family's 1533-position model. Lineage: Bacteria; Bacillati; Bacillota; Clostridia; Eubacteriales; Desulfitobacteriaceae. The record is from RNAcentral.
CGUCUGAUUAGCUAGUUGGUGGGGUAAAGGCCUACCAAGGCGACGAUCAGUAGCCGGCCUGAGAGGGUGAACGGCCACACUGGGACUGAGACACGGCCCAGACUCCUACGGGAGGCAGCAGUGGGGAAUCUUCCGCAAUGGACGAAAGUCUGACGGAGCAACGCCGCGUGUAUGAUGAAGGUCUUCGGAUUGUAAAGUACUGUCUUUGGGGAAGAAUGUCAGGUUUGAAAAUAUUGAGUCUGAAUGACGGUACCCAAGGAGGAA